UCCCUGGCUGUCCAGUGGUUAGGACUUGGCACUCUCAUUGCUGGAGCCCCAGGUUUGAUUCCUAGUCGGGGAA
RNAcentral lists this transfer RNA (73 nucleotides) under Bos taurus (domestic cattle). It matches the Rfam family "tRNA". From Rfam's summary of the family: Transfer RNA (tRNA) molecules are approximately 80 nucleotides in length. Their secondary structure includes four short double-helical elements and three loops (D, anti-codon, and T loops). Further hydrogen bonds mediate the characteristic L-shaped molecular structure. tRNAs have two regions of fundamental functional importance: the anti-codon, which is responsible for specific mRNA codon recognition, and the 3' end, to which the tRNAs corresponding amino acid is attached (by aminoacyl-tRNA synthetases). tRNAs cope with the degeneracy of the genetic code in two manners: having more than one tRNA (with a specific anti-codon) for a particular amino acid; and 'wobble' base-pairing, i.e. permitting non-standard base-pairing at the 3rd anti-codon position. Lineage: Eukaryota; Metazoa; Chordata; Mammalia; Artiodactyla; Bovidae. The record is from Rfam by way of RNAcentral.